Molecule: ribosomal RNA, 434 nt
Filed under: uncultured bacterium
Lineage: Bacteria
Description: bacterial SSU rRNA
Rfam family: Bacterial small subunit ribosomal RNA
Source: RNAcentral
AACGCGAAGAACCUUACCCACCUUUGACAUGUACGGAAUUUGCCAGAGAUGGCUCAGUGCUCGAAAGAGAACCGUAACACAGGUGCUGCAUGGCUGUCGUCAGCUCGUGUCGUGAGAUGUUGGGUUAAGUCCCGCAACGAGCGCAACCCUUGUCAUUAGUUGCUACAUUCAGUUGGGCACUCUAGUGAGACUGCCGGUGACAAACCGGAGGAAGGUGGGGAUGACGUCAAGUCCUCAUGGCCCUUAUAGGUGGGGCUACACACGUCAUACAAUGGCUGGUACAAAGGGUUGCCAACCCGCGAGGGGGAGCUAAUCCCAUAAAACCAGUCGUAGUCCGGAUCGCAGUCUGCAACUCGACUGCGUGAAGUCGGAAUCGCUAGUAAUCGUGGAUCAGAAUGUCACUGUGAAUACGUUCCCGGGCCUUGUACACACCG